Molecule: ribosomal RNA, 698 nt
Filed under: uncultured bacterium
Lineage: Bacteria
Description: bacterial SSU rRNA
Rfam family: Bacterial small subunit ribosomal RNA
Source: RNAcentral
CAGUCGACGGUAACGAAAGAAGCUUGCUUCUUUGCUGACGAGUGGCGGACGGGUGAGUAAUGUCUGGGAAACUGCCUGAUGGAGGGGGAUAACUACUGGAAACGGUAGCUAAUACCGCAUAACGUCGCAAGACCAAAGAGGGGGACCUUCGGGCCUCUUGCCAUCGGAUGUGCCCAGAUGGGAUUAGCUUGUUGGUGGGGUAACGGCUCACCAAGGCGACGAUCCCUAGCUGGUCUGAGAGGAUGACCAGCCACACUGGAACUGAGACACGGUCCAGACUCCUACGGGAGGCAGCAGUGGGGAAUAUUGCACAAUGGGCGCAAGCCUGAUGCAGCCAUGCCGCGUGUAUGAAGAAGGCCUUCGGGUUGUAAAGUACUUUCAGCGGGGAGGAAGGGAGUAAAGUUAAUACCUUUGCUCAUUGACGUUACCCGCAGAAGAAGCACCGGCUAACUCCGUGCCAGCAGCCGCGGUAAUACGGAGGGUGCAAGCGUUAAUCGGAAUUACUGGGCGUAAAGCGCACGCAGGCGGUUUGUUAAGUCAGAUGUGAAAUCCCCGGGCUCAACCUGGGAACUGCAUCUGAUACUGGCAAGCUUGAGUCUCGUAGAGGGGGGUAGAAUUCCAGGUGUAGCGGUGAAAUGCGUAGAGAUCUGGAGGAAUACCGGUGGCGAAGGCGGCCCCCUGGACGAAGACUGACGCUC